CUCCCAAAUCUCUGGCAGGAGGGGCUGCCUGGGACACCCUGGCAGUGGGAGGGCAUCUCUCCAUCCCUCUCAUGUUGGGGUUGGCCAUAGUGCCUGGAACUCAAUGAAGCUUGCCUUCACUGGGACCUUUCCCUUCCAUACCCCUGGACGUGUGGUCAGGAGCAUUGGGGGCUCUGCACAGCAGGAGGUGAAGGGCCCUGGGAGCACAGUCCACCCCAGCCAGAGCACAGGGUCCAUCCAAGGCCAGCACUGGCCUGGCACUGCCCUCGGCCUGAGUCCCGAUGGCAGGGGAGGGUACUGGCUUCACCAACACCCAAGACCUUUAGAGCCGUACCUAGCGAAGCUGACCCCCUGUUCCAGGCAGGGUCUAUUCCAGGCAUGGUGCUGUCCUGUUCCAGGCCUGGAGCUGCACCCACCACCCCAGAUGCUCUCUGGGUUUCCAGCAGGCUGCCCCCUAGUGCCCACCUCCACCUCUCUGUUGGCCUCACGCUCACGAGUGCCCUAAUGGCAGUCCAGCUUCUAGGACUUCCUCUUACUCCAGAGAAUUUUGCUUGCCAUGGGAUUUGAAGGAGGAAAUGGUAAGUAUUAGGUGCAUGGCUCAGCAAUUUCAGGGUUCUGAUGAGCCAACGACUCCCUUCAGCCCCACCUAGCCGGGUCUGGCUCCCUGGGGGCGUCUGCGUGUGGCUGUGCUGUGGUCCUGAGAAGAGGGGCUUCCUGCUCUCUUCCAAACUCUAGUGGAGGCCCUGAGGGCUCUGACACCCGCCAUGCCCACCUGGGCCAGGCUGGGUGUGCCUCUGUCAUCCUAACCAGGAUGAAAACCUGCUGGACUGGACUGGCAGGGUGACUAUGCCAGCCCCCAGCAUGGGCACACCUGUUCUGUGUCCCUUCAGGCGGGUGCGGUAAAGCCUGGGCGGGUCCUGGAGCCCAGAAGCAGUGGCACAGAACAGGAACCUACUGUGAGUGCAGCCUGGGCCUCAGCCGGGAGGCACUCAUCGCCCUGCUUGUGGUGCUGGCGGGCAUCAGUGCCAGCUGCUUCUGCGCCCUCGUCAUUGUGGCAGUUGGCAUCAUGCGAGCCAAGGGGUGUGUGAGCCCCAGGGCUGGGGCGGGUGGAUGAGGGCCACAGGGCCAUACCACCUGCCCUGAGCCCUUGGUCUUGCUGGGAGAGGGGCCUCUGCUCCUGGGAGGGAUGCCACCAGGGGCUUGGGAAGGGCAAUUCCCAGAUUGCGGGUUAGGGGGAGGUGUAGAGGGCACCUCCGGGCUCCUGGAGGCUAGCCCCAUUCUUCUAGAACUCAUACCUACCUUUGUUUCCCCAGUGAAACACACCCCAGACACACAGAUAGCAGGUGAGUGACCCCAGGGGAGGAUCCCAGGAGUGAACUGCGUCCCUGCCCCUGUCCUCAGGAGGUGCAGUUCUCAGAGCACUCGACUGGAGUGCAGGGUCCAUACUGGGUGGUCAAGGCCUUGUGAGCCCGAGCUGAUGGCUGCCUGCAGCCAGCCCGACUGCCUGUGCCCUGCAGGUUGGUGGGGCACUUUGGGGCCCAGGAAGAGUGCAUGGACCUGCACGCAGUGCAUGUGGAGUCUCACGUUAUGGAUCCUGACCUGGAGGUCUCCACGACGCUGCCCCUGGAGGGUCAUGGCCUCAGGACCAUCCCCGUGGAUUCAGUGACCCUGGAGGAGCGGCGCCCCCCUCCCACCUGAGUAGGUUGUGGGCAGCUGGGAGAAUUAAAACAGUAGUUAGU
Molecule: RNA transcript, 1739 nt
Organism: Manis pentadactyla (Chinese pangolin)
Lineage: Eukaryota; Metazoa; Chordata; Mammalia; Pholidota; Manidae
Gene: TMEM210
Gene name: transmembrane protein 210
Exons: 2
Source: RefSeq, a predicted model, not a curated record